AUUGAACCUUGCCUCAAAUUUUGCUUUGACAUAUAAUAACCUGUUCUGUUUUAUGUUUGACACAAUCUAGUCAAAUGGUCUUGGAAUAUCAUUGUCUAUGUAGAUCUUUUUGCAUUUUGUUGACUUACGGCUCAGUGCCUUGUUGGAUGGUUGUGUUACCUCCUUCAAGACCUUGUUCCUCUAUCAUGCAAUCCAAUGAUUGAUAAGUACCCACAGUUAUUGGUUUGUAUCUUAGAGUAUAGGACUCCUUGCAGUAUCAUUUUUGCCAAAGCAAUACCUUCUUAAUUCUUACAAUUCUGUAUUCUAUUUAUUUGGUGUCACACUCUUUAUUUCUUGUUCUACUGAAAU
Molecule: unclassified non-coding RNA, 348 nt
Filed under: Hevea brasiliensis (rubber tree)
Lineage: Eukaryota; Viridiplantae; Streptophyta; Magnoliopsida; Malpighiales; Euphorbiaceae
Source: RNAcentral